CGUCCAGACUCCUACGGGAGGCAGCAGUGGGGAAUAUUGCACAAUGGGGGAAACCCUGAUGCAGCGACGCCGCGUGAGUGAGGAAGUAUUUCGGUAUGUAAAGCUCUAUCAGCAGGGAAGAAAAUGACGGUACCUGACUAAGAAGCCCCGGCUAAAUACGUGCCAGCAGCCGCGGUAAUACGUAUGGGGCAAGCGUUAUCCGGAUUUACUGGGUGUAAAGGGAGCGCAGGCGGCCUGGCAAGCCUGAUGUGAAAUACCGGGGCCCAACCCCGGGGCUGCAUUGGGAACUGCCAGGCUGGAGUGCCGGAGAGGCAGGCGGAAUUCCUAGUGUAGCGGUGAAAUGCGUAGAUAUCAGGAGGAACACCGGUGGCGAAGGCGGCCUGCUGGACUGCGACUGACGUUGAGGCCCGAAAGCGUGGGGAGCAAACAGGAUUAGAUACCCCCGUA
This 447-nucleotide ribosomal RNA is filed under the name uncultured bacterium. Its description in RNAcentral is "partial 16S ribosomal RNA". It matches the Rfam family "Bacterial small subunit ribosomal RNA", at positions 328 to 792 of the family's 1533-position model. The record is from RNAcentral.